This is a long non-coding RNA of Amblyraja radiata (thorny skate), 169 nucleotides long. RefSeq lists it as uncharacterized. Lineage: Eukaryota; Metazoa; Chordata; Chondrichthyes; Rajiformes; Rajidae. The transcript is spliced from 3 exons. The record is from RefSeq and is a predicted model, not a curated record.
CUCACCCAACCUGUCCAAGUCACCCUGCAAUCUCAUAGCAUCCUCCUCACAGUUCACACGGCCACCCAGCUAUGUGUCAUCUGCAAAUGUGUUCAUGUUAAUUUUAAUCCCUUCAUUGAAAUCAUUAAUAUAUAUUGUAAAUAGCUGGGGUCCCAUCACUGAGCCUUGC